UAAUACGGAGGGUGCAAGCGUUGUCCGGAUUUAUUGGGUUUAAAGGGUGCGUAGGCGGCUGAUUAAGUCAGUGGUGAAAGGCAGCAGCUCAACUGUUAGCACGGCCAUUGAUACUGGUUAGCUUGAGUACAGUCGAGGUAGGCGGAAUUGAAGGUGUAGCGGUGAAAUGCAUAGAUAUCUUCAAGAACACCUAUUGCGAAGGCAGCUUACUAGGCUGUAACUGACGCUGAUGCACGAAAGCGUGGGGAUCGAACAGGAUUAGAUACCCUGGUAGUCCACGCCGUAAACGAUGAUCACUCGCUGUUGGCGAUAUACAGUCAGCGGCUAAGCGAAAGCAAUAAGUGAUCCACCUGGGGAGUACGCUCGCAAGAGUGAAACUCAAAUGAAUUGACGG
Molecule: ribosomal RNA, 394 nt
Filed under: uncultured bacterium
Lineage: Bacteria
Description: bacterial SSU rRNA
Rfam family: Bacterial small subunit ribosomal RNA
Source: RNAcentral